AGGGAUCAUUACCGAGUUUACAACUCCCAAACCCCUGUGAACAUACCAAUUGUUGCCUCGGCGGAUCAGCCCGCUCCCGGUAAAACGGGACGGCCCGCCAGAGGACCCCUAAACUCUGUUUCUAUAUGUAACUUCUGAGUAAAACCAUAAAUAAAUCAAAACUUUCAACAACGGAUCUCUUGGUUCUGGCAUCGAUGAAGAACGCAGCAAAAUGCGAUAAGUAAUGUGAAUUGCAGAAUUCAGUGAAUCAUCGAAUCUUUGAACGCACAUUGCGCCCGCCAGUAUUCUGGCGGGCAUGCCUGUUCGAGCGUCAUUUCAACCCUCAAGCCCUCGGGUUUGGUGUUGGGGAUCGGCGAGCCCUUGCGGCAAGCCGGCCCCGAAAUCUAGUGGCGGUCUCGCUGCAGCUUCCAUUGCGUAGUAGUAAAACCCUCGCAACUGGUACGCGGCGCGGCCAAGCCGUUAAACCCCCAACUUCUGAAUGUUGACCUCGGAUCAGGUAGGAAUACCCGCUGAACUUAAGCA
RNAcentral lists this ribosomal RNA (522 nucleotides) under Fusarium sp. E6741c. RNAcentral's name for it is "eukaryotic LSU rRNA". The stretch from base 160 to 313 matches the Rfam family "5.8S ribosomal RNA". The record is from RNAcentral. Lineage: Eukaryota; Fungi; Ascomycota; Sordariomycetes; Hypocreales; Nectriaceae.